GAUGAACGCUAGCGGCAGGCCUAAUACAUGCAAGUCGAGGGGUAGAGGUUGCUUGCAACCUUGAGACCGGCGCACGGGUGCGUAACGCGUAUGCAACCUACCUUCAUCAGGGGGAUAGCCCGGAGAAAUCCGGAUUAACACCGCAUAAAAUCACAGUACGGCAUCGUACAAUGAUCAAACAUUCAUGGGAUGGAGAUGGGCAUGCGUGCCAUUAGCUAGUUGGCGGGGUAACGGCCCACCAAGGCUUCGAUGGCUAGGGGAUCUGAGAGGAUGGCCCCCCACACUGGUACUGAGACACGGACCAGACUCCUACGGGAGGCAGCAGUAAGGAAUAUUGGUCAAUGGGCGCAAGCCUGAACCAGCCAUGCCGCGUGCAGGAAGACGGCCCUCCGGGUUGUAAACUGCUUUUAUUCGGGAAUAAACCUGUCUACGUGUAGACAGCUGAAUGUACCGAAGGAAUAAGGAUCGGCUAACUCCGUGCCAGCAGCCGCAGUAA
RNAcentral lists this ribosomal RNA (496 nucleotides) under uncultured bacterium. RNAcentral describes it as "partial 16S ribosomal RNA". It matches the Rfam family "Bacterial small subunit ribosomal RNA", at positions 28 to 523 of the family's 1533-position model. The record is from RNAcentral.